AUGAAGAACGUAGCGAAAUGCGAUAAGUAAUGUGAAUUGCAGAAUUCAGUGAAUCAUCGAAUCUUUGAACGCACAUUGCGCCCGCCAGUAUUCUGGCGGGCAUGCCUGUUCGAGCGUCAUUACAACCCUCAGGCCCCCGGGCCUGGCGUUGGGGAUCGGCGGAAGCCCCCUGUGGGCACACGCCGUCCCUCAAAUACAGUGGCGGUCCCGCCGCAGCUUCCAUUGCGUAGUAGCUAACACCUCGCAACUGGAGAGCGGCGCGGCCAUGCCGUAAAACACCCAACUUCUGAAUGUUGACCUCGAAUCAGGUAGGAAUACCCGCUGAACUUAAGCAUAUCAAUAAGCGGAGGA
RNAcentral lists this unclassified non-coding RNA (351 nucleotides) under soil metagenome. Its description in RNAcentral is "partial contains 5.8S ribosomal RNA, internal transcribed spacer 2, and large subunit ribosomal RNA". The stretch from base 1 to 119 matches the Rfam family "5.8S ribosomal RNA", at positions 36 to 154 of the family's 154-position model. The record is from RNAcentral.